Molecule: long non-coding RNA, 1338 nt
Organism: Micropterus salmoides (largemouth bass)
Lineage: Eukaryota; Metazoa; Chordata; Actinopteri; Centrarchiformes; Centrarchidae
Exons: 2
Source: RefSeq, a predicted model, not a curated record
CGGAGAAGUUUCCCAAAACUGUAGGCGGAGAGAGGAUUGAAGAGCAAAAGUAUCGAUACAAAUGCCACCUGCACCUCUGUUCUCCGGUGUAUGACUGCUCCCAUCCUGUUCCUCGCCGUACACUGAUACUGGCCAGUGUCAGUCCUCUUCAGAGACGAGACAGUCAACCUAAAGAUGGACAGACAAAAUGAGAGCACGGUGAUGAGGCUGUGUUUUUAUCUCAGAUCUGUAAAUAAACACUGUUAAAAGGAGAAAGGCAGUGUUGGGGGUGAUGUUCGGAGACCAACGAGACAGACGGGAAAGAAGUUGGAGGUCUGUUUGUCCAUAUGUAUGCACUCUGUAAUUCUCUUUUAAUGACCUUGAUCUGAGAAUGGAUUGGGCCUAAGGUUGUCAAAGUUCCCCAAUAACAGAAGGGUAGGUGGAGUGGUGCAUAUGUGCGGUAUGUGUGUGCUCUGUAUGAGAAUGUUUUUGACUGUGUGUAUCAUUUUUUUUUUCUUUCUGAGAGGGGUUGUUAAUGGGGUUUUAAUGGACUGUGCUUCACUAAUGGGAAGCUUGGCAUAGGAUCUAGGUUGGUGGACAAAUGCAUAUACACACAUGCACAGACAACACACACACACACGUAUUACACACAAACCAGACAGACACAGUAAAACUGGACAUCGCUUUGGGGCUCAUUAUGAAUACCAGGACAGCCAAGUAUUUAACUCCCAGGCUGUUAGUGUAUGCUGCCAACACACACAAAACCCCCCCGCACACUUGGACAUCAAAGACUCACAUACGCAAUUCCAUUUGAAUCAGGAAUGACACAUUACACAGCAGCUCUCAUCCUGAAACAGAUUUUGAUAUUGGGACACGUCCUAACUAUGCAUCUGUGUAUGUGUGUGUGUGUUCCAUUACGUUUUCUAAUAGGCGUGUGCGGUGGGGCUGUCACUGAAAUCCCACCCCAAGUUUUCCUUUACUUUUCUGACUAAACUCAAAGUUCAAUGUUGAAAGGUCUCAAUCAAUACAAUCAUUUCACAGAAAAUGUCUCUGACACAGUCUCAGCCCAGCAUGUGAAGUCAAAUUCCCCGUGUGAUUCAAGAUAAGAACAGUUUCAAUCAUGGUUUAUAGUAAGACUGCUUCAGCGAGCCCUGUGGCACCAAACUGAACACGGAAAGGACUAGAUCUAUUUCUACAAUGUGUGAUGUUGGGAUGUGUGAAUACAGAAGAACACAUCAUUUCACAUUAAACCUAGUAGCACUUUACAUGUUAUAUAAUGGGAAUGUCUAAAUAUGGUUUAAGUGUCCCAUGAGUCAUUGUCUAGUUCUCGAGAAAUAAAAGGCAUUCUCUUAAUUCUCA